CACCCGAUAGCACAUGGUGUGUGCCUGCGCCGCUUGGUUUGGAGAACUGAAAUAGUGCAGGAGGUUCCCGUUCGAUUCGGGGUCGGGUGA
Molecule: non-coding RNA, 90 nt
Organism: Mycena leptocephala
Lineage: Eukaryota; Fungi; Basidiomycota; Agaricomycetes; Agaricales; Mycenaceae
Source: the annotation of a GenBank genome assembly